GAUGAACGCUAGCUACAGGCUUAACACAUGCAAGUCGAGGGGCAGCAUGAACUUAGCUUGCUAAGUUUGAUGGCGACCGGCGCACGGGUGAGUAACACGUAUCCAACCUGCCGAUGACUCGGGGAUAGCCUUUCGAAAGAAAGAUUAAUACCCGAUGGCAUAGUUCUUCCGCAUGGUAGAACUAUUAAAGAAUUUCGGUCAUCGAUGGUGAUGCGUUCCAUUAGGUUGUUGGCGGGGUAACGGCACAACAAGCCUUCGAUGGAUAGGGGUUCUGAGAGGAAGGUCCCCCACAAUGGAACUGAGACACGGUCCAAACUCCGACGGGAGGCAGCAGUGAGGAAUAUUGGGCAAUGGACGAGAGUCUGAACCAGCCAAGUAGCGUGAAGGAUGACUGCCCUAGGGGUUGUAAACUUCUUUUAUACGGGAAUAAAGUGAGGCACGUGUGCCUUUUUGUAUGUACCGUAUGAAUAAGGAUCGGCUAACUCCGUG
RNAcentral lists this ribosomal RNA (489 nucleotides) under uncultured bacterium. RNAcentral describes it as "partial 16S ribosomal RNA". It matches the Rfam family "Bacterial small subunit ribosomal RNA", at positions 28 to 507 of the family's 1533-position model. The record is from RNAcentral.